This 763-nucleotide ribosomal RNA is filed under the name uncultured Streptococcus sp. RNAcentral describes it as "bacterial SSU rRNA". It matches the Rfam family "Bacterial small subunit ribosomal RNA", at positions 28 to 776 of the family's 1533-position model. Lineage: Bacteria; Bacillati; Bacillota; Bacilli; Lactobacillales; Streptococcaceae. The record is from RNAcentral.
GACGAACGCUGGCGGCGUGCCUAAUACAUGCAAGUAGAACGCUGAAGGAGGAGCUUGCUUCUCCGGAUGAGUUGCGAACGGGUGAGUAACGCGUAGGUAACCUGCCUGGUAGCGGGGGAUAACUAUUGGAAACGAUAGCUAAUACCGCAUAAUAGUAGAUGUUGCAUGACAUUUACUUAAAAGGUGCAAUUGCAUCACUACCAGAUGGACCUGCGUUGUAUUAGCUAGUUGGUGGGGUAACGGCUCACCAAGGCGACGAUACAUAGCCGACCUGAGAGGGUGAUCGGCCACACUGGGACUGAGACACGGCCCAAACUCCUACGGGAGGCAGCAGUAGGGAAUCUUCGGCAAUGGACGGAAGUCUGACCGAGCAACGCCGCGUGAGUGAAGAAGGUUUUCGGAUCGUAAAGCUCUGUUGUAAGAGAAGAACGAGUGUGAGAGUGGAAAGUUCACACUGUGACGGUAUCUUACCAGAAAGGGACGGCUAACUACGUGCCAGCAGCCGCGGUAAUACGUAGGUCCCGAGCGUUGUCCGGAUUUAUUGGGCGUAAAGCGAGCGCAGGCGGUUAGAUAAGUCUGAAGUUAAAGGCUGUGGCUUAACCAUAGUACGCUUUGGAAACUGUUUAACUUGAGUGCAAGAGGGGAGAGUGGAAUUCCAUGUGUAGCGGUGAAAUGCGUAGAUAUAUGGAGGAACACCGGUGGCGAAAGCGGCUCUCUGGCUUGUAACUGACGCUGAGGCUCGAAAGCGUGGGGAGCAAACAGG